CAAAUUAAGUGUCACGACCCAAAUUUCGAGUCAUGACCGACGCAUGGACCCAAUGGACAUAGUCCACUAAGCCCAAGCAAGCCUAUUAAUCUGACAUAUUCAUCAUUCCAUCAUAAACUGCUAAGUCAUAUAUCAUAACUUAGAAUCAAAAUAAUAUUGAACAUUGCCCCUCAUACUGGCAUACCAAACAAGUGUAUAUACACUGUCUACAACAUGUAUCUUAAUAAUUCACAUUAGGUUCGUCUAUACAUAACAAAAGAAGACUCGAUGUCCAGCGGAGAAACUUGACGAAUGUACACUUACUAAAUGUUGAGACACCUACUAAUAGUCGAGUCUACAAAGGUACCUCGACCUAGUUACCAGCUGCCUUGUAAUCUGAAAACAUGAAGUUGAAAGCGGUGAGCAUAAACUCAGUGAGUGAACAAGAAAGGGAACAAGCAUACCAUAAGGAAUGUUUAACGAAAUCAUGAUGCAUUCAUUUUCUCAAAACAAUGCAAUUGUUUUGGCUCUUUUAAACCCCUCAUGUAAACCCCACAUGAGUAAAUCACUUUACAAAGAUCCAUGCUCAACUAUGGUACCAAAGAAAUGGGAAAUAAGGCAAAAACCCACAAGUUAGCAAAAUGGACAGAAAGUUUCUCGCUGUAGCAAACUUCAUUCUCGCUGCAGCGAGAACCAGGUCUGGUGAAGGCCCUCAAACCCAAGAGUUUCUCGCUGCAACAAGAAUGAAUCUAGCUAUAGCGAGAAUUAUAACAUCAAGGAAAAAGUCUCCUUUUCCCUUAAAACAAGCCAUCCUGCUAAAAUAACAAUAGUAACAUGUAAUUCAUGUAGACUCCCAAAUUUCAACGAAUCAAAUGCUCACAUAUUUGCAUUUACAACCAUAUACCCAUCAUCAUCAUGCACACCAUCCCAUCAUCAUCAUUCCCAACUCAUGCGCACUCCCUACUAGCACAUGGCUAGGUCAUCACUGGGUUAUGCGCACUCCCUACUCGCACAUAACCGAGUCAUCAUCGGCUUAUGCGCACUCCCUACUCGCACAUAGCCGAGUCAGCAACGGAUUAUGUGCACUCCUACUCGCACAUAGCUGAGUCCACAUCAACAUGCAAAGAAGCAUCCAAUGCAUAUCAUGCAUUUUAUCAUAUUGUGAUAACACAUAAACCAUUGUAUAGCACAUUUUCUCAAUAUAAAAUCAUUUUACUAAAAGCUUGUUCCUAAGGUACAUUUUUAAGAAAAGUUGUAUAAAAUCAUUCAAACACUUUGCACAAAACAAUUACAUUCCCAAAAAUAGUUUUGAUAGGCAGUCCACUCACCGGUAUUAGGAGUAGAAAUACUCCUAUUUUCAAUCAGCGGGUAAAGUCCUUUACCCGUAUCCAAUGGCUCACCACCUAACCAUAAUCUAUGACACAUAUUUCAAUUAAAUUAUGUCUAACAGUCAUAAGCUAUUUCAGGCUCGAUAUAUAUAUGAUAUGAGAUUAAAAAUGCACAAGUAGCCAUCUAGACCCGGUAUUGGCCUAAGUUAAUUUUUCAUUCGAUAAACUAGCCAAUGCGUCCAAUUUCACUCCAACUUGCUCCAUUUCUUUUCCAAUCCCUCAAUUCACCAAGCACAAACUAAUUAACACACAAUUAGGCAAAAUUUAUCUUCAUUUUUCUUCUUGAAUCUUUCAGCCAACAAUGGUACACUAACUCCGUGAUUUUUCCUACUUAAUUUCCUCACCAUUAUUCAUUAAUUCCUACACCAAAAACUAUUAUUUCUUAAUCAAAUCACCUAAAAACACUAACAUACCUAAAAAUCAAACUAAUCCAAGAUCAUUCUCUCUCCAUACCUAUUUUGCCUACCACUUAUUCACUAUGAAAUCAUGUUUUUCAAACAUAGAAAUAAGAAAAUAAAGCAUGGGUAUUGUAAAUCUCAAGUAAAAAUAAAGAAUUUUCACUUACCUUGCUUAAUUCCUUGGAAUCCCACACUUUUUCUUCAAUUUUCCCACCUAGGGUUUGUGUUCUUUCCUUUCC
Molecule: long non-coding RNA, 2004 nt
Filed under: Theobroma cacao (cacao)
Lineage: Eukaryota; Viridiplantae; Streptophyta; Magnoliopsida; Malvales; Malvaceae
Description: long non-coding RNA (TCAC_LNC000437)
Source: RNAcentral